GGCGUAAGGGUUUGUAGGCGGCUUUAAAAAAAUAAUAAUUAAAGCUAGAAUCAAAUAGAGGUCACCGUGAGAGAACACUUAGUGUAGGGCUGAUAUCUGUAAAUACUUAGUGGAAUUCUAAUUAGCGAAGGCUCUUUUCCAAAUAAUGAUUGACGCUGAUAAACGAAGGGGAGGAACGACAAUAGGAUUAGAUACCCUGGCAUCCCUCUCUGUCAACGAUGAAUGGUAGUUGCUAGUUCUUAUGAGUUAGUGGCGAUGUAAACACGUUAACCAUUCCGCCUUGUGAGUACAAUUGCAAAGUUGAAAACAAAAAAAUUAGUCGGUUUCGGAGCAAACGAAGUGAAGCAUGUUAUUUAAUUCGAUAAUCCGC
RNAcentral lists this ribosomal RNA (370 nucleotides) under Gautieria sp. OSC61517. Its description in RNAcentral is "SSU rRNA". It matches the Rfam family "Bacterial small subunit ribosomal RNA", at positions 557 to 962 of the family's 1533-position model. Lineage: Eukaryota; Fungi; Basidiomycota; Agaricomycetes; Gomphales; Gomphaceae. The record is from RNAcentral.